Molecule: long non-coding RNA, 1448 nt
Filed under: Mytilus galloprovincialis (Mediterranean mussel)
Lineage: Eukaryota; Metazoa; Mollusca; Bivalvia; Mytilida; Mytilidae
Source: RNAcentral
AAUGACUAGAUUUAUAUCAGCAAAUAACAAUUCAAUUGUAAGCAUUUAGAGUAGAAGACUUGGUAAAAGUUCUUACUUUUAACAGAAAUGUUUAGUGAGAUAAUGGUACAUAAUAAGAGACAUAGAAUCACAAUGUUUAGUGAGAUUUUUUCCAAGCAUAUAAAAAACAUGUAUCUACAAAGAUAAAGUAAUUAAGAUAAAAGUAAUGAGAAUUCUUAUAAGGGAAAUAAAAAAAUAAUCUAAACCAAGUCAAGAAUGAUAAAUGCAAAUACAUUACACACAAACCAUUCUUGCUGUUGUGGACUAAUUCAAUGUGAAAUGGGGUGAUAGCUGAUGAUUGGCAGUGAUAACAUGGAGGUGAUUAACAGUCUUGAUAUACAACCCUGACAUAUAUAAUAUACUUUAAACUUUUGCCUAAAUCACCCUCCUCAUUCCCUUUUGUUAUUUUAUAUCAAGCUUUAAGAUGUCAGCAGGCAUUAUCGGCAACAUCACAAUGCAUGAGGAAAGAUUGCUUUCAUCAAAUGUAUAACUUUCAAAGGGAGAGGGGAAGACCAGUAAAAGAAGGAUGAACAGAUGAUCAGGUUUUCUACAUAUAGAUAUACACAUUGUGAAGCUCUUUUGUUCAUCCUUUGAGCUCACUCUCCAAAAAUGUUCAGAUUGUGGCUCGCAACUGAUAUUUAAUAAUAAAUGUGUAGAAAACCUAAUAAUUUUAACAUCUAUACAGAGAGCUCUUUCAGAGUGAUUCCCCAAAAACCACUAACAUUCUCUGAAUAUUCACCUACAAAACUGAUUAUUGAAAAAUUGACUGAUUGUUGGUGUUUAAGGUCACUUUCAGCAUGUUGGCUACCUGUAUAUCAUGUCAGCCAGUUUUUAUAGGAGGAAGAUGAAUUCCUAAGAGAAAUACAACCAACCUUCGAUGGGAAAACUGAAAAUCCUAGCCAAUAAAGAAUGGAUUUAAAUGCAACUUGUUUAGUUAGGGAAUGACUGGAGUGGGCCCCCUAUUAUGGCAGUCAUCCCCCCUUUUAAGAAAAUUUCUGGAUUCACCACUGAUGUUUAUUGUUCUAGUAGAAAAUAUAAAGUUUUUCAUACAUUUACUGAGAUUGCUUAUGAUGAGAUGUGAUAAAAAGAUCUUCUGUGUAUAACAAAUAAAAAUAAACAAAUAAUACUACAACUUACAAACGAAUAAUAAUGGUUAUUUUGAGUACAUAUAAGCUUUAUGUAUAUUGAUAAAAUUAAAACAAACAUAAAAUAAAAGAAAUUGUAUAUAUACGAAAAGCACCAUUCAAUUUCCAUGCAAAUCUUAUUCAUUAUCCUGGCAUUGAAAUGAAAAACAUAAUAAACUAUACAAUGUAGAUUAUACAUGAAUCAUAUUUUAAAACACUUUACAAUUUCUGAAAGACAUUUUGUCCCUUUAUUUAUUAUGCCAAUUAAUAGAUAAUAUAUUUUAA